AAACCGACACUGGUGGGCGAGCUGAAUAUGCUCAGGCGCUUGAGAGAACUCAGGGGAAGGAACUCGGCAAAUUGACACCGUAACUUCGGGAUAAGGUGUGCCUUUGUAGCGUGGAGGGAGAAACACCCCGAGCGCGAAGAGGUCUCAGAUAAUCGGUGGCUGCGACUGUUUAUUAAAAACACAGCACUCUGCAAAGACGAAAGUCGACGUAUAGGGUGUGAUGCCUGCCCGGUGCUGGAAGAUUAAUUGAUGGGGUGCAAGCUCCUGAUCGAAGUCCCAGUAAACGGCGGCCGUAACGAUAACGGUCCUAAGGCAGCGAAAUUCCUUGUCGGGCAAGUUCCGACCUGCACGAAUGGCAUAACGAUGGCCACACUGUCUCCUCCUGAGACUCAGUGAAGUUGAAGUGUUUGUGAUGAUGCAAUCUCCCCGCGGCUAGACGGAAAGACCCCAUGAACCUUUACUGUAGCUUUGCAUUGGACUUUGAACCGAUCUGUGUAGGAUAGGCGGGAGCCUGUGAAACCACAACGCCAGUUGUGGCGGAGGCGUCCUUGAAAUACCGCCCUGAUUUGUUUGAGGUUCUAACCUGGGACAGUUAUCCUGUCCGGGGACCGUGCAUGGUAGGCAGUUUGACUGGGGCGGUCUCCUCCUAAAGGGUAACGGAGGAGUGCGAAGGUACGCUAGGUACGGUCGGAAAUCGUGCUGAUAGUGCAAUGGCAGAAGCGUGCUUGACUGCGAGACCCACAAGUCGAGCAGAUACGAAAGUAGGUCAUAGUGAUCCGGUGGCUCUGUAUGGAAGGGCCAUCGCUCAACGGAUAAAAGGUACUCUGGGGAUAACAGGCUGAUACCGCCCAAGAGUUCAUAUCGACGGCGGUGUUUGGCACCUCGAUGUCGGCUCAUCUCAUCCUGGGGCUGUAGCCGGUCCCAAGGGUAUGGCCGUUCGCCAUUUAAAGAGGUACGUGAGCUGGGUUUAAAACGUCGUGAGACAGUUUUGUCCCUAUCUGCCGUGGGCGCUGGAAGAUUGACGGGGGCUGCUCCUAGUACGAGAGGACCGGAGUGGACUCACCUCUGGUGUACCGGUUGUCACGCCAGUGGCAUCGCCGGGUAGCUAUGUGGGGAAGAGAUAACCGCUGAAAGCAUCUAAGCGGGAAACUUGCCUGAAGAUAAGUCUUCCUGGAGGCUAGACCUCCCUAAAGAGUCGCUCGAGACCAGGACGUUGAUAGGAUGGGUGUGUAAGUGCUGUGAGGCACUCAGCUAACCAUUACUAAUUGCUCGUGAAGCUUGAUCCG
RNAcentral lists this ribosomal RNA (1286 nucleotides) under metagenome. RNAcentral describes it as "bacterial LSU rRNA". It matches the Rfam family "Bacterial large subunit ribosomal RNA", at positions 1651 to 2925 of the family's 2925-position model. The record is from RNAcentral.